This 29-nucleotide non-coding RNA is filed under the name Homo sapiens (human). Lineage: Eukaryota; Metazoa; Chordata; Mammalia; Primates; Hominidae. The record is from RNAcentral.
UGGUAUAUGCAGUUGGUAGCGCUAUAGUG